Molecule: ribosomal RNA, 495 nt
Filed under: uncultured bacterium
Lineage: Bacteria
Description: partial 16S ribosomal RNA
Rfam family: Bacterial small subunit ribosomal RNA
Source: RNAcentral
GACGAACGCUGGCGGCGUGCCUAAUACAUGCAAGUAGAACGCUGAAGGAGGAGCUUGCUCUUCUGGAUGAGUUGCGAACGGGUGAGUAACGCGUAGGUAACCUGCCUGGUAGCGGGGGAUAACUAUUGGAAACGAUAGCUAAUACCGCAUAACAGUAGAUGUUGCAUGACAUUUACUUAAAAGGUGCAAUUGCAUCACUACCAGAUGGACCUGCGUUGUAUUAGCUAGUUGGUGGGGUAACGGCUCACCAAGGCGACGAUACAUAGCCGACCUGAGAGGGUGAUCGGCCACACUGGGACUGAGACACGGCCCAGACUCCUACGGGAGGCAGCAGUAGGGAAUCUUCGGCAAUGGACGGAAGGCUGACCGAGCAACGCCGCGUGAGUGAAGAAGGUUUUCGGAUCGUAAAGCUCGGUUGUAAGAGAAGAACGAGUGUGAGAGUGGAAAGUUCACACUGUGACGGUAUCUUACCAGAAAGGGACGGCUAACUACGUG